CUGAAGUUUCCCAACACACGGCAUAUACCUUGGAUCAAUUUGUCAAGUGUCUAAUUCCGAGGUAACCUGGAAUUCCAACCUUUAUGUGCUGUUGUGGAGGAACCACCUUUCAUGUCCAUGAAACCCUGAGGAGAGACAGCCUCCACGGCGGCCCCCGCCCUCUGAUGUCCACGUGUUCCUGGACUGUCUUCUCCGCGAGUGCGGACCGGCCCCAGAGACUUACUUCAAACGUAAAGAAUGCAGCAAAAGUGAUGGGAUCGUUGCGGUCACUUCUGAGAGCCUUCCUGAGGCCGCGAGGGAACUUUCAACUGUCAGGAGAAUCGACGGUUUGUGCAGAAACUCAGCACGUGCUCCCCAAGGACCCACGACCAGGAACAUCAGGCUCUGAGAGAGAAUCGUGAUUCAGGACCAGAUGAUGGUCUCACACCAUCAGCUUUAGUCCCAUGGUCUCCUUCCCCCUCUUGGCUACUACUACACCCAAGAAGAAAGAAAGAAACCCAGCACAGGUCAGAAAUGCGUGUCUGUUUAUACACGAGACACUGAAAAAUACAUGGACUACGAGAGGCCAGGAUAGUCCCUCGAGCUGUUCAAGCGGAGGCGCAAGUACACAGAGUCAGAAGAGUCUCUAAAGAGAAACA
Orcinus orca (killer whale) is the source of this 638-nucleotide long non-coding RNA. RefSeq lists it as uncharacterized. The transcript is spliced from 3 exons. The record is from RefSeq and is a predicted model, not a curated record. Lineage: Eukaryota; Metazoa; Chordata; Mammalia; Artiodactyla; Delphinidae.